GUGAUUCUCUUGCCUCAGCUCCUGAGUGGCUGGGAUUACAGCACGCAGAACCACCUUCUCCAUAGCUGGGCAGAGGGCAGAACUCCCAGCCAAAAUGACAGACCCAUGAGACAUAUGGAGCUCAACUGUUUCUAGAGGGAUCUGAGCCAUGUCCGCCGUGGUGCAGGCUUCAGCUUCCCCUCGAGAAGCCAAGUUCCAAGCCAUCCGCAAAAUGAUCACUCAGCAUCCAC
This 230-nucleotide long non-coding RNA is filed under the name Homo sapiens (human). RNAcentral describes it as "HSALNT0402059". The record is from RNAcentral. Lineage: Eukaryota; Metazoa; Chordata; Mammalia; Primates; Hominidae.